AGAGUAAGUUAUUCAAUCGCAUCAUUUUUGAUGAGGAAAGUCUGCGCUCCACAGAGCAGGAUGCCAGUUAACGACUGGUAGGGGCGACCCUAAGGCUAGUGCAACAGAGAUAUACCGCCUUGAAAAAGGUAAGGGUGGAAAGGCGAGGUAAGAGCUCACCAGGUUUUCAGUGAUGAAAAUGCUAUGUAAACCCCAUUCGGAGCAAGACCAAAAUAGGACAAAACAGAUGCUGCUCGCAUCUGCCGGGAGGUAGGUCGCUUGAAUUAUUUGGUGACAAAUAAUCUAGAUAGAUGAUUGAACAAGACAGAACGCAGCUUAUAAACUUACUCAUUAA
RNAcentral lists this RNase P RNA (334 nucleotides) under Peptoniphilus asaccharolyticus. RNAcentral's name for it is "RNase P RNA component class A". It matches the Rfam family "Bacterial RNase P class A". From Rfam's summary of the family: Ribonuclease P (RNase P) is a ubiquitous endoribonuclease, found in archaea, bacteria and eukarya as well as chloroplasts and mitochondria. Its best characterised activity is the generation of mature 5'-ends of tRNAs by cleaving the 5'-leader elements of precursor-tRNAs. Lineage: Bacteria; Bacillati; Bacillota; Tissierellia; Tissierellales; Peptoniphilaceae. RNAcentral also lists the same sequence under 1 other name. The record is from RNAcentral.